RNAcentral lists this non-coding RNA (113 nucleotides) under Candidatus Kaiseribacteriota. RNAcentral describes it as "Candidatus Kaiserbacteria SAM-I sequence". It matches the Rfam family "SAM riboswitch aptamer (S box leader)". Rfam says of the family: The SAM riboswitch is found upstream of a number of genes which code for proteins involved in methionine or cysteine biosynthesis in Gram-positive bacteria. The SAM riboswitch acts at the level of transcription termination control. The predicted structure consists of a complex stem-loop region followed by a single stem loop terminator region. The record is from RNAcentral.
CUUGUAUCAAGAGGCAGUGAGAGAUUUGGCUCGAUGACCUGCCGACAACACUUGAGUCCGCAAAAGCGAGCUCGGACGUGUGCCAAUUCCAACCCGCUCGGGGAAGAUACUCA